CAACGGGUGCGGAAACGUACGCAAUCUACCUUGAUCUGGGGCAUAGCCCGGAGAAAUCCGGAUUAACUCCCCAUAGGAUUAUGGAGUGGCAUCACUUAGUAAUUAAAAAUUUAUUGGAUCAAGAUGAGCGUGCGUCCCAUUAGCUAGUUGGUAGGGUAACGGCCUACCAAGGCGACGAUGGGUAGCCGGUGUGAGAGCACGACCAGCCACACGGGCACUGAGACACGGGCCCGACUCCUACGGGAGGCAGCAGUGAGGAAUAUUGGUCAAUGGACGCAAGUCUGAACCAGCCAUGCCGCGUGAAGGAUGAAGGCCUUCUGGGUUGUAAACUUCUUUUAUGAGGGAAGAAAACUACGGUUUCUACUGUAGCCGACGGUACCUUAGGAAUAAGCACCGGCUAACUCCGUGCCAGCAGCCGCGGUAAUACGGAGGGUGCAAGCGUUAUCCGGAUUCACUGGGUUUAAAGGGUGUGUAGGCGGGCUAUUAAGUCAGUAGUGAAAUCUCCGAGCUCAACUUGGAAACUGCCAUUGAUACUAUUAGUCUUGAAUAUUGUUGAGGUUGGCGGAAUAUAUCAUGUAGCGGUGAAAUGCUUAGAUAUGAUAUAGAACACCGAUUGCGAAGGCAGCUAACUAAGCAAUGAUUGACGCUGAGGCACGAAAGCGUGGGGAUCAAACAGGAUUAGAUACCCUGGUAGUCCACGCCCUAAACGAUGAUUACUCGACAUACGCGAUACACAGUGUGUGUCUGAGCGAAAGCAUUAAGUAAUCCACCUGGGAAGUACGACCGCAAGGUUGAAACUCAAAGGAAUUGACGGGGGUCCGCAC
This 824-nucleotide ribosomal RNA is filed under the name uncultured Sphingobacteriales bacterium. Its description in RNAcentral is "bacterial SSU rRNA". It matches the Rfam family "Bacterial small subunit ribosomal RNA", at positions 100 to 926 of the family's 1533-position model. The record is from RNAcentral. Lineage: Bacteria; Pseudomonadati; Bacteroidota; Sphingobacteriia; Sphingobacteriales.